RNAcentral lists this ribosomal RNA (433 nucleotides) under uncultured bacterium. RNAcentral's name for it is "partial 16S ribosomal RNA". It matches the Rfam family "Bacterial small subunit ribosomal RNA", at positions 29 to 507 of the family's 1533-position model. The record is from RNAcentral.
AACGAACGCUGGCGGCAUGCCUAACACAUGCAAGUCGAACGAGACCUUCGGGUCUAGUGGCGCACGGGGGCGUAACGCGUGGGAACCUGCCCUUAGGUUCGGAAUAACUCCCCGAAAGGGGUGCUAAUACCGGAUAAUGUCUUCGGACCAAAGAUUUAUCGCCUUUGGAUGGGCCCGCGUAGGAUUCGCUAGUUGGUAGGGUAAAAGCAUACCAAGGCGACGAUGCAUAGCUGGUCUGAGAGGAAGGUCAACCACACUGGAGAUGGGACACGGCCCAGACUCCGACGGGAGGCAGCAGUGGGGAAUAUUGGACGAGGGGCGAAAGCCUGAUAAAGCAAUGCCGCGUGAGUGAUGAAGGCCUUAGGGUUGUAAAGCUCUUUUACCCGAGAUGAUAAUGACAGUACCGGGAGAAUAAGCUCCGGCUAACUACGUG